RNAcentral lists this ribosomal RNA (253 nucleotides) under uncultured bacterium. RNAcentral describes it as "partial 16S ribosomal RNA". It matches the Rfam family "Bacterial small subunit ribosomal RNA", at positions 524 to 776 of the family's 1533-position model. The record is from RNAcentral.
UACGUAGGGCGCAAGCGUUAUCCGGAAUUAUUGGGCGUAAAGAGCUCGUAGGCGGUUUGUCGCGUCUGCCGUGAAAGUCCGAGGCUCAACCCCGGACUUGCAGUGGGUACGGGCAGACUAGAGUGUGGUAGGGGAGACUGGAAUUCCUGGUGUAGCGGUGAAAUGCGCAGAUAUCAGGAGGAACACCGAUGGCGAAGGCAGGUCUCUGGGCCACUACUGACGCUGAGAAGCGAAAGCAUGGGGAGCGAACAGG